Molecule: ribosomal RNA, 253 nt
Filed under: uncultured bacterium
Lineage: Bacteria
Description: partial 16S ribosomal RNA
Rfam family: Bacterial small subunit ribosomal RNA
Source: RNAcentral
UACAGAGGGUGCGAGCGUUAAUCGGAAUUACUGGGCGUAAAGCGUGCGUAGACGGUUAUUUAAGUCAGAUGUGAAAGCCCCGGGCUCAACCUGGGAAUUGCAUUUGAGACUGAAUAGCUAGGGUGCGGUAGAGGGAAGCGGAAUUUCCGGUGUAGCGGUGAAAUGCGUAGAUAUCGGAAGGAACAUCAGUGGCGAAAGCGGCUUCCUGGACCAGCACCGACGUUCAGGCACGAAAGCGUGGGGAGCGAACAGG